RNAcentral lists this long non-coding RNA (1180 nucleotides) under Cricetulus griseus (Chinese hamster). Its description in RNAcentral is "lncRNA (ENSCGRG00015042534.1)". Lineage: Eukaryota; Metazoa; Chordata; Mammalia; Rodentia; Cricetidae. The record is from RNAcentral.
CAGGAGGUCACUGAAUUGGGAAGACCAAACAAGGAGGAGAAUGGAGGAAGGACUUGUGAGAGGGAAUAAUGGAAGGGACAGCUAAAACUAAGGGCCAUUUGAGACAUAGUAUGGAAACCUUACACAGGAGAAUCCCCUAAAAUAUGUACAUUUCUGAAGGUGAGGAGAGAGAGAUAUUCUCAACUGAACAUUUUUCAUCACCAGAUGAAACUUCCAGGACUGGGAAUGGGCUACAUCUAAUUGAGUCUUUGGUCAAAGGGAACACAUCUGAACCCCAAAUAAUUGAGUCUACUGGUGGCUCUCCACAAACUGACAGCAAGGCCCUAUUGCUGAAGACAACACCUAUGCAACUCAUUGAAUAUGGAGAGGUCAAGAUAGACCUAUCUGGAGUCCUCACUUCCAUGGCCUAGUGUUCAUGGUCCUGAUCAGUGUCUUGCUCAGCCAAUAUCAGAGAAGCUUUCUUCUGCAGCAGAUGAGAACAAAUGCUGAGACCCACAGCCAGAAAAUAUGCAGAGAAUGAGAGAUCCUAGAACACUCAUCCAUAAAAGAUGCCUGUUUUCUAAGGAGCCACAGGAAGAGCAUGGACCCAGAUGGGAGGGGAGAAGGGAAGCAACUCUGAGGAAUAGGGGGAAGGAAAGCCAUACUCUUUUUAAUCAAAGAAGAAAUUACUUUUGAAGAUUUUCAUUUUGGGGGCUGGAGAGAUGGCUCAGCAGGUGACCGUGCCCACAGCUAAAUUUGAAAGGACUCACAAGGCAGCGGAUGCAUCUAGGGUCUGGCCCAGCAGAUGGCAGAUAGAGCCCGGGAAACGAAGGUGGCAGCAAGAAGCCGAGAUAUAGUCCCAGGGGCAAAAUGAUCUCCUGGCAUAAUUUGGAAUCACAGCUCCAUAAAGUGUAACAAGCCCUUCAAAUGAAGCCAAAGCCCACCAACAUUUUCAAGAAGUCUCAGCAGAAUAUCUCAUCAGCCACUAUCAGACCUUCCUAACAUGUGUUCUUUGUAGCUCCACUUACUGGAACAAGAAUGAAGACCACCUGUGAUGAAUACUCACAUGGUUUGUGUGGCUGACAAAUGAGAAUUGCCAGAAUGACAGUGGUCUUGAACAACUGAUCUCAAGCACAUGCUUCUAUGGUUCUGUUAGCCUGUCCGAAAAUUCUGUCAAAUGAAUGGUGGAAGCAAGGCAACA